This 239-nucleotide long non-coding RNA is filed under the name Lathyrus oleraceus (garden pea). RNAcentral's name for it is "Pisum sativum (pea) long non-coding RNA (PSAT_LNC021326)". The record is from RNAcentral. Lineage: Eukaryota; Viridiplantae; Streptophyta; Magnoliopsida; Fabales; Fabaceae.
AAAAACAUAAAAAAUAUGCCACUUUUUACUAAUGGCACAAAUAUAAUUAUAUAAAACUUUUGUACAAUUAGAUUGAUAAAUUCUAUUGUACUUUUUCUUUUACUUCCAACCACCGGUUUAUACUUUAUAUACAUAUAUAAUAAAAUAUAUGAUAUAUUAUAACUUUUGUUAACUUCUUUUUGUUGAAUAAUAUAUUACAAAUUAACUCAUUAUGUUAACUAUUUUAUAAUUGAUUAAAU